CAAAUGCUAAUACCGUAUAAUAAUUAAAACCGCAUUGGUUUUAGUUUAAAAGAUGGUCUUGCUAUCACUAAGAGAUGGUCCCGCGGUGUAUUAGUUAGUUGGUGAGGUAAUGGCUCACCAAGACAAUGAUACAUAGCCGAGUUGAGAGACUGACCGGCCACAAUGGGACUGAGACACGGCCCAUACUCCUACGGGAGGCAGCAGUAGGGAAUCUUCCACAAUGGACGAAAGUCUGAUGGAGCAACGCCGCGUGUGUGAUGAAGGGUUUCGGCUCGUAAAACACUGUUGUAAGAGAAGAAUGACAUUGAGAGUAACUGUUCAAUGUGUGACGGUAUCUUACCAGAAAGGAACGGCUAAAUACGUG
This 364-nucleotide ribosomal RNA is filed under the name uncultured bacterium. Its description in RNAcentral is "bacterial SSU rRNA". It matches the Rfam family "Bacterial small subunit ribosomal RNA", at positions 157 to 507 of the family's 1533-position model. The record is from RNAcentral.